RNAcentral lists this ribosomal RNA (243 nucleotides) under Agama kirkii. RNAcentral describes it as "partial 16S ribosomal RNA". It matches the Rfam family "Bacterial large subunit ribosomal RNA", at positions 1945 to 2334 of the family's 2925-position model. Lineage: Eukaryota; Metazoa; Chordata; Lepidosauria; Squamata; Agamidae. The record is from RNAcentral.
ACCGUGCAAAGGUAGCGUAAUCACUUGUCUCCUAAAUAGAGACCGGUAUGAAAGGCUCCAUGAGAAAGAGACUGUCUCUUGAAGAUAGCCAAUGAAACUGAUCUGCCUGUGCAAAAGCAGGCAUAACAAAACAAGACAAAAAGACCCUGUGAAACUUAAAAAUAAAUGUCAAUAAUAUGACAACAUUUUUUGGUUGGGGCAACCAAAGAGAAACAAAAUCUCUUAAUAUACUAGACCAACAAG